This is a long non-coding RNA of Homo sapiens (human), 412 nucleotides long. The record is from Ensembl. NCBI's taxonomy places the organism in Eukaryota, Metazoa, Chordata, Mammalia, Primates, Hominidae.
CCUGGAGACUGCAAGGGUGGUGUCUCACUAUGUUGCCCAGACUGUUUUCUAACCCUGGCCUCAAGCAAAUUUCCCACCUCCUUCUCCCAAAAUGCUGGGAUUACAAGUGUGAGCCACUGUACCCAGCCUACUUAGGAGGACAUUUACUAUUCACUUACUGAUUUGCAUCAAAUUAUUGAUUGGUGGUGUUUCAGAAGGUGGAAGCUCUGCCAGCCCCACAUACAGCCUGAGUGAGACAUGCCAUUCAUUUGUUAAGCAGCUGAGGGUUUGUAACUGCUUGUGACUGCGGCAUGUCCAAGAAUGUUUUGUCUGAUGCACGACAAUGAGUGAAUAUAUAAUGAUUCAACAAGAGCCAUAGAGUUUUAAAAUGUGUUACAUUUUAUAGGAAAUACAGUUACUUAGACUUAUAAAA